This 228-nucleotide long non-coding RNA is filed under the name Homo sapiens (human). Its description in RNAcentral is "non-protein coding lnc-MAP3K8-13:1". Lineage: Eukaryota; Metazoa; Chordata; Mammalia; Primates; Hominidae. The record is from RNAcentral.
GAUUGAGGAGAGGAAGCAGCUCAUCACUGUGAGAGAGGAGGCCUGGAAGACGAGAGGCAGAGGAGCGGCCAACGACUCGACCCAGUUCACUGUGGCUGGCAGGAUGGUGAAGAAAGGUUUGGCGUCACCUACUGCCAUAACCCCAGUAGCCUCAGCCAUUUGCGGUAAAACAAGAGGCACCACACCCGUUUCCAAACCCCUGGAAGAUAUCGAAGCCAGACCAGAUAC